RNAcentral lists this ribosomal RNA (424 nucleotides) under uncultured bacterium. RNAcentral's name for it is "bacterial SSU rRNA". It matches the Rfam family "Bacterial small subunit ribosomal RNA", at positions 355 to 776 of the family's 1533-position model. The record is from RNAcentral.
UAAGGAAUAUUGGUCAAUGGGCGCAAGCCUGAACCAGCCAUGCCGCGUGAAGGAUGACAGCCCUAUGGGUUGUAAACUUCUUUUAUACAGGAAAAAACCUUCCGACGUGUCGGGAGCUGAUGGUACUGUAAGAAUAAGGAUCGGCUAACUCCGUGCCAGCAGCCGCGGUAAUACGGAGGAUCCAAGCGUUAUCCGGAUUUAUUGGGUUUAAAGGGUGCGUAGGCGGAUUGGUAAGUCAGUGGUGAAAUCCUACAGCUUAACUGUAGAACUGCCAUUGAUACUAUCAGUCUUGAGUACAAUUGAAGUGGGCGGAAUGUGUCAUGUAGCGGUGAAAUGCAUAGAGAUGACACAGAACACCGAUAGCGAAGGCAGCUCACUAAACUGUAACUGACGCUGAUGCACGAAAGCGUGGGGAUCAAACAGG